This 72-nucleotide transfer RNA is filed under the name Terfezia boudieri ATCC MYA-4762. It matches the Rfam family "tRNA". Rfam says of the family: Transfer RNA (tRNA) molecules are approximately 80 nucleotides in length. The record is from Rfam by way of RNAcentral. Lineage: Eukaryota; Fungi; Ascomycota; Pezizomycetes; Pezizales; Pezizaceae.
GGUCGCGUGGCUCAAUUGGCAGAGCAUCGUGUUUGAAACGUGAAGGUGUGAGUUCGAGUCUCACCGUGACCA